AAUAACAGAAGAUAAUCAUCACCCCCAAUCAAGAACAUUAACAACCUUGGAAUCAAGGAAGCAACAACUGCAGGACUGUAUGAGAACCCUCAUAAA
Molecule: long non-coding RNA, 96 nt
Organism: Octopus sinensis (East Asian common octopus)
Lineage: Eukaryota; Metazoa; Mollusca; Cephalopoda; Octopoda; Octopodidae
Exons: 3
Source: RefSeq, a predicted model, not a curated record